AGUGAACGCUGGCGGUAGGCCUAACACAUGCAAGUCGAACGGCAGCACAGUAAGAGCUUGCUCUUACGGGUGGCGAGUGGCGGACGGGUGAGGAAUACAUCGGAAUCUACUUUUUCGUGGGGGAUAACGUAGGGAAACUUACGCUAAUACCGCAUACGACCUACGGGUGAAAGCAGGGGAUCUUCGGACCUUGCGCGAUUGAAUGAGCCGAUGUCGGAUUAGCUAGUUGGCGGGGUAAAGGCCCACCAAGGCGACGAUCCGUAGCUGGUCUGAGAGGAUGAUCAGCAACACUGGAACUGAGACACGGUCCAGACUCCUACGGGAGACAGCAGUGGGGAAUAUUGGACAAUGGGCGCAAGCCUGAUCCAGCCAUACCGCGUGGGUGAAGAAGGCCUUCGGGUUGUAAAGCCCUUUUGUUGGGAAAGAAAAGCAGCAGGUUAAUACCCCGCUGUUCUGACGGUACCCAAAGAAUAAGCACCGGCUAACUUCGUG
Molecule: ribosomal RNA, 492 nt
Filed under: uncultured bacterium
Lineage: Bacteria
Description: partial 16S ribosomal RNA
Rfam family: Bacterial small subunit ribosomal RNA
Source: RNAcentral